AGUGAACGCUGGCGGUAGGCCUAACACAUGCAAGUCGAACGGCAGCACAGUAAGAGCUUGCUCUUACGGGUGGCGAGUGGCGGACGGGUGAGGAAUACAUCGGAAUCUACUUUUUCGUGGGGGAUAACGUAGGGAAACUUACGCUAAUACCGCAUACGACCUACGGGUGAAAGCAGUGGAUCUUCGGACCUUGCGCGAUUGAAUGAGCCGAUGUCGGAUUAGCUAGUUGGCGGGGUAAAGGCCCACCAAGGCGGGGAUCCGUAGCUGGUCUGAGAGGAUGAUCAGCGACACUGGAACUGAGACACGGUCCAGACUCCUACGGGAGGGAGCAGUGGGGAAUAUUGGGCAAUGGGCGCAAGCCUGAUCCAGCCAUACCGCGUGGGUGACGAAGGCCUUCGGGUUGUAAAGCCCUUUUGUUGGGAAAGAAAAGCAGCAGGUUGAUACCCCGCUGUUCUGACGGUACCCAAAGAAUAAGCACCGGCUAACUUCGUG
Molecule: ribosomal RNA, 492 nt
Filed under: uncultured bacterium
Lineage: Bacteria
Description: partial 16S ribosomal RNA
Rfam family: Bacterial small subunit ribosomal RNA
Source: RNAcentral